CUGGUGUCAGCCGCCGCGGUAAUACCAGCACCUCGAGUGGUCAGGACGUUUAUUGGGCCUAAAGCAUCCGUAGCCGGCUCUGCAAGUCUUCGGUUAAAUCCACCUGCUCAACAGAUGGGCUGCUGGAGAUACUACAGAGCUAGGGAGUGGGAGAGGUACACGGUACUCGAUAGGAAGGGGUAAAAUCCUUUGAUCUGUUGAUGACCACCUGUGGCGAAGGCGGUGUACCAGAACACGUUCGACGGUGAGGGAUGAAAGCUGGGGGAGCAAACCGGAUUAGAUACCCGGGUAGUCCCAGCUGUAAACGAUGCAAACUCGGUGAUGCAUUGGCUUGUGGCCAAUGCAGUGCCGCAGGGAAGCCGUUAAGUUUGCCGCCUGGGAAGUACGUACGCAAGUAUGAAACUUAAAG
RNAcentral lists this ribosomal RNA (409 nucleotides) under uncultured Nitrososphaerota archaeon. RNAcentral's name for it is "bacterial SSU rRNA". It matches the Rfam family "Archaeal small subunit ribosomal RNA", at positions 452 to 861 of the family's 1478-position model. Lineage: Archaea; Thermoproteati; Nitrososphaerota. The record is from RNAcentral.